This 1200-nucleotide long non-coding RNA is filed under the name Ovis aries (sheep). RNAcentral describes it as "lncRNA (ENSOARG00000026677.1)". The record is from RNAcentral. Lineage: Eukaryota; Metazoa; Chordata; Mammalia; Artiodactyla; Bovidae.
AUGGCUCUCUGUGCACCCUUCCAUCUUCGUCUCCUUGACGCUGCCCCCUGGGAGACCCCCAUCCUCGCCCCACCCAGUGGAUGGAGUGGGCUUCCCAGAGGCAAUGGUGACUGCAGCCACCCUGCGUGCCCAGUGGCGGCCAGCGCUCACCCCUCAGGGUGCUGCACACUCAGCCCCUGGAGGAUCUGCCCAGGAGGGUCCCUCCCUCCUCCGACCCUUGCGGAGAGGCCCCCAGAGUUCCUUUUGCACAAAGCUCUGAGGUGGAGAUGCAGAAGCGGUCCCGAAGGGGCAUGCACAUUUGGAAGCGCCCGCCCCCCAGCUGUCCCCAGUGGAUUUGAUUCUGGCUCUUGCGAUUGUUUCCCGCAGCCCCACACACUGCCCUCUCGAAUGGCAACAGAAGCGAAACCCACACAGGAAACCCAAGGAGGAAGAGCCCAGUGCCCGCUGACUCAUUUCCCUCCAUGUGAGGGGACGGGGCGGGGUGGGGGGUUUGCCUGGGCCACAGCCUCCAGCCCACAAGGUUCCCUUCUCUGCUCCCCUCUCCAUCUGCACCGGACUGGCCUCCCGGGGGCAGAGACCCUGUGCGGGGCUCUUGGGAGCAACAAUUAUUUGCCAUUUUUGCUCCAACGCUCUGUGUGUUGGGGUUUCUGUCCUGGGUCCCUGAAUGGAUUGUGGCCUUUCCUUGUUGAUUCUUGGGGAUCCCUCCUAAAUCCUGGCUACGCGGCUGUUGUCAAGUGUACAGGCUGAAGAACUCCUCCGGUGGCCGAGGGUCAUAAAGACGACCAGCUCUGCUGUCUGGAGUGCCUUAUCCACCGCCUGGAAGGAUGGCCCUGCGUGAUGCUGAGUGUCAUGUCAGGGGUCCUUCUGGGAGGGGCUCACAGGUGACAGGAGUUGGGAGCAGGGGAUGGGCGGGUGGGGGCAGCUGGCGACAUUCUGGAGGCUGAGCGAGAGGGCUGUGGGCCCAGGGCAGGCUCUGAAAACGGGUGGGCCCGCUGCACCUAAACAGCCAUGCUGGGAUCCGCCCACCUCCCGGUGACUCCGGCCACUCGACCGGGGCAGACCGCGUCCCCACGUCCCCAGAUGUUGCUCGGCGGGCCACAGAAGCAACAAUCUCGUGCUAGACCCACAGGAGAUGAAGAACAGCCGCUCGGAAUCCAGGACUCAGCCCCUGGAGGUGGGGAGGGGCAGGGGUCGCCCCAG